RNAcentral lists this ribosomal RNA (253 nucleotides) under uncultured bacterium. Its description in RNAcentral is "partial 16S ribosomal RNA". It matches the Rfam family "Bacterial small subunit ribosomal RNA", at positions 524 to 776 of the family's 1533-position model. The record is from RNAcentral.
UACGUAGGGUGCAAGCGUUAAUCGGAAUUACUGGGCGUAAAGCGUGCGCAGGCGGCUUUGUAAGUCCGAUGUGAAAUCCCCGGGCUUAACCUGGGAACUGCAUUGGUGACUGCAAGGCUUGAGUGCGGCAGAGGAGACUGGAAUUCCUGGUGUAGCAGUGAAAUGCGUAGAUAUCAGGAGGAAUACCGAUGGCGAAGGCAGGUCUCUGGGCUGACACUGACGCUCAUGCACGAAAGCGUGGGGAGCAAACAGG